Coffea arabica (coffee) is the source of this 106-nucleotide small nucleolar RNA. Lineage: Eukaryota; Viridiplantae; Streptophyta; Magnoliopsida; Gentianales; Rubiaceae. The record is from RefSeq and is a predicted model, not a curated record.
AUUUGGUGUUGGGGGCACUUGAUGCACAACUUCUUGAAUCGCUCCUAUGAAUCAUAAAGCGACUCCCUGGAUGCUGCUUGAUACCACAGAUCUCUUUUCUUAAACU